RNAcentral lists this ribosomal RNA (819 nucleotides) under uncultured eukaryote. RNAcentral's name for it is "SSU rRNA". It matches the Rfam family "Eukaryotic small subunit ribosomal RNA", at positions 629 to 1426 of the family's 1831-position model. The record is from RNAcentral.
CGGUGUUUAACUGGCGUGAUGUGGGACGUCCUACCGGUGGGCUUAGCCUCGCGAGGGGCGGCCCAACUAAUAUCCCGUCGCGGUGCUCUUUACUGAGUGUCGAGUCGGGCCGGUACGUUUACUUUGAACAAAUUAGAGUGCUUAAAGCAGGCUAUCCUCGCCUGAAUACUGCGUGCAUGGAAUAAUGGAAUAGGACCUCGGUUCUAUUUUGUUGGUUUUCGGAACCCCGAGGUAAUGAUUAACAGGGACAGAUGGGGGCAUUCGUAUUGCGACGUUAGAGGUGAAAUUCUUGGAUCGUCGCAAGACGGACAGAAGCGAAAGCAUUUGCCAAAAAUGUUUUCAUUAAUCAAGAACGAAAGUUAGAGGUUCGAAGGCGAUCAGAUACCGCCCUAGUUCUAACCAUAAACGAUGCCAGCUAGCGAUCCGCCGAAGUUCCUCCGAUGACUCGGCGGGCAGCUUCCGGGAAACCAAAGCUUUUGGGUUCCGGGGGAAGUAUGGUUGCAAAGCUGAAACUUAAAGGAAUUGACGGAAGGGCACCACCAGGAGUGGAGCCUGCGGCUUAAUUUGACUCAACACGGGAAACCUCACCAGGCCCAGACACCGGAAGGAUUGACAGAUUGAUAGCUCUUUCUUGAUUCGGUGGGUGGUGGUGCAUGGCCGUUCUUAGUUGGUGGAGCGAUUUGUCUGGUUAAUUCCGAUAACGAACGAGACUCUAGCCUGCUAAAUAGGCGUACCUUAUGGUAUCGCGAAGGCCCCCGGCUUCGGCCGGUGGGUUUUUACUACCAACGUACAAACAAAUCUUCUUAGAGGGACAGGCGG